UACGUAGGGGACGAGCGUUGUCCGGAAUUACUGGGCGUAAAGGGCGCGCAGGCUGUAGAUCAAGUCAGCUGUGAAAUGUCUGGGCUUAACCCGGGCAUACGGUUGAAACUGAUGUACUGGAGUGCUGUAGAGGCAAGUGGAAUUCCCAGUGUAGCGGUGAAAUGCGUAGAUAUUGGGAAGAACACCGGUGGCGAAGGCGACUUGCUGGGCAGCAACUGACGCUGAGGCGCGAAAGCCAGGGGAGCAAACGGGGAUUAGAUA
Molecule: ribosomal RNA, 261 nt
Filed under: uncultured prokaryote
Description: partial 16S ribosomal RNA
Rfam family: Bacterial small subunit ribosomal RNA
Source: RNAcentral